RNAcentral lists this unclassified non-coding RNA (300 nucleotides) under uncultured Fusicolla. RNAcentral's name for it is "sequence contains 5.8S rRNA gene, ITS2". The stretch from base 1 to 78 matches the Rfam family "5.8S ribosomal RNA", at positions 77 to 154 of the family's 154-position model. Lineage: Eukaryota; Fungi; Ascomycota; Sordariomycetes; Hypocreales; Nectriaceae. The record is from RNAcentral.
GGGACAGGUGAGUCAUCGAAUCUUUGAACGCACAUUGCGCCCGCCAGUAUUCUGGCGGGCAUGCCUGUUCGAGCGUCAUUUCAACCCUCAAGCCCCCGGGCUUGGUGUUGGGGCUCGGCCCGUCCCUAGCGGCGCGCCGUCCCCGAAAUCUAGUGGCGGUCACGCUGUACUCCUCUGCGUAGUAAUCUAACCUCGCAACGGGACAAAGCGCGGCCACGCCGUUAAACCCCCAACUUCUGAAGGUUGACCUCGGAUCAGGUAGGAAUACCCGCUGAACUUAAGCAUAUCAAUAAGCGGAGG